UCGGGUUGUAAAGCACUUUCAGCGAGGAAGAACGCCUGGCGGUUAAUACCCGCCAGGAAAGACAUCACUCGCAGAAGAAGCACCGGCUAACUCCGUGCCAGCAGCCGCGGUAAUACGGAGGGUGCGAGCGUUAAUCGGAAUUACUGGGCGUAAAGCGCGCGUAGGCGGCCUGAUAAGCCGGUUGUGAAAGCCCCGGGCUCAACCUGGGAACGGCAUCCGGAACUGUCAGGCUAGAGUGCAGGAGAGGAAGGUAGAAUUCCCGGUGUAGCGGUGAAAUGCGUAGAGAUCGGGAGGAAUACCAGUGGCGAAGGCGGCCUUCUGGACUGACACUGACGCUGAGGUGCGAAAGCGUGGGUAGCAAACAGGAUUAGAUACCCUGGUAGUCCACGCCGUAAACGAUGUCGACCAGCCGUUGGGCGCCUUGAGCGCUUUGUGGCGAAGUUAACGCGAUAAGUCGACCGCCUGGGGAGUACGGCCGCAAGGUUAAAACUCAAAAGAAUUGACGGACAUU
RNAcentral lists this ribosomal RNA (511 nucleotides) under uncultured bacterium. RNAcentral describes it as "bacterial SSU rRNA". It matches the Rfam family "Bacterial small subunit ribosomal RNA", at positions 418 to 921 of the family's 1533-position model. The record is from RNAcentral.